AACGAACGCUGGCGGCAGGCUUAACACAUGCCAGUCGAGCGCCUCGCCAGAGGAGCGGCAGCCGGGUGAGUAACGCGUGGGAACGUACCCUUAUCUUCGGAAUAGCUCUGGGAAACUGGAAGUAAUACCGAAUGUGCCCUUAGGGGGAAAGAUUUAUCGGCUAAGGAUCGGCCCGCGUUGGAUUAGCUAGUUGGUGGGGUAAAGGCCUACCAAGGCGACGAUCCAUAGCUGGUCUGAGAGGAUGAUCAGCCACAGUGGGACUGAGACACGGCCCAAACUCCUACGGGAGGCAGCAGUGGGGAAUAUUGGACAAUGGGCGCAAGCCUGAUCCAGCCAUGCCGCGUGAGUGAUGAAGGCCUUAGGGUUGUAAAGCUCUUUCACCGGAGAAGAUAAUGACGGUAUCCGGAGAAGAAGCCCCGGCUAACUUCGUG
RNAcentral lists this ribosomal RNA (431 nucleotides) under uncultured bacterium. RNAcentral describes it as "partial 16S ribosomal RNA". It matches the Rfam family "Bacterial small subunit ribosomal RNA", at positions 29 to 507 of the family's 1533-position model. The record is from RNAcentral.